Molecule: ribosomal RNA, 313 nt
Filed under: uncultured bacterium
Lineage: Bacteria
Description: bacterial SSU rRNA
Rfam family: Bacterial small subunit ribosomal RNA
Source: RNAcentral
GAUAAACGCUGGCGGCGCACAUAAGACAUGCAAGUCGAACGGACUUAACCAUUAGUUUACUAUUGGAGCGGUUAGUGGCGGACUGGUGAGUAACACGUAAGCAACCUGCCUAUCAGAGGGGAACAACAGUUAGAAAUGACUGCUAAUACCGCAUAUGCCUAAGUACACAUGGUACAAUAGGGAAAGGAGCAAUCCGCUGAUAGAUGGGCUUGCGUCUGAUUAGAUAGUUGGUGGGGUAACGGCCUACCAAGUCGACGAUCAGUAGCCGGACUGAGAGGUUGAACGGCCACAUUGGGACUGAGAUACGGCCCAG